RNAcentral lists this ribosomal RNA (254 nucleotides) under uncultured bacterium. Its description in RNAcentral is "partial 16S ribosomal RNA". It matches the Rfam family "Bacterial small subunit ribosomal RNA", at positions 524 to 776 of the family's 1533-position model. The record is from RNAcentral.
UACGGGGGGAGCAAGCGUUGUUCGGAUUUACUGGGCGUAAAGGGCGCGUAGGCGGCCUGUGCAAGUCAGUUGUGAAAUCUCCGGGCUUAACUCGGAACGGUCAACUGAUACUGCUCGGCUAGAGUGCGGAAGGGGCAACUGGAAUUCUUGGUGUAGCGGUGAAAUGCGUAGAUAUCAAGAGGAACACCUGCGGCGAAGGCGGGUUGCUGGGCCGACACUGACGCUGAAGCGCGAAAGCUAGGGGAGCGAACGGG